GAUGAACGCUAGCGGCAGGCUUAACACAUGCAAGUCGAGGGGCAGCGUGAUGAAGUAGUAAUACGGAUUUGACGGCGACCGGCGCACGGGUGCGUAACGCGUAUGUAACCUACCUUUAACAGGGGGAUAACACUGAGAAAUUGGUACUAAUACCCCAUAACACUAUAGGAGGCAUCUCCUUUGGUUGAAAGUUCCGGCGGUUAAAGAUGGACAUGCGUUGUAUUAGCUAGAUGGUGAGGUAACGGCUCACCAUGGCGACGAUACAUAGGGGGACUGAGAGGUUAACCCCCCACACUGGUACUGAGACACGGACCAGACUCCUACGGGAGGCAGCAGUGAGGAAUAUUGGUCAAUGGACGCAAGUCUGAACCAGCCAUGCCGCGUGCAGGAAGACGGCUUCUAUGAGUCGUAAAACUGCUUUUGUACAAGGGUAAACCUCGGUACGUGUACCGAGCUGAAAAGUACUGUACGAAUAAGGAUCGGCUAAACUCCGUGCCAG
This 499-nucleotide ribosomal RNA is filed under the name uncultured bacterium. Its description in RNAcentral is "bacterial SSU rRNA". It matches the Rfam family "Bacterial small subunit ribosomal RNA", at positions 28 to 511 of the family's 1533-position model. The record is from RNAcentral.